Long non-coding RNA from Hemicordylus capensis (graceful crag lizard), 338 nucleotides. RefSeq lists it as uncharacterized. The transcript is spliced from 3 exons. Lineage: Eukaryota; Metazoa; Chordata; Lepidosauria; Squamata; Cordylidae. The record is from RefSeq and is a predicted model, not a curated record.
AGGAGAGCCCGGCGGACAUCCAGAGAAUGUAGUGCCCUUUCUGUUUCCGGUUUUUGGAAGAAGAGGGUGUUGUGUGCCGACGACCCCCUUUUGAAGCUGACAUGCAGUCGAUUACCAUAGAUUUCGGCACCGGGUGUCGCAGCAGGUCGAUAAUGACAUCUUUGGUAUCAAACUCUUUGGUGAAGAACUCGAUGUCGACAAGGACUUCUUCGACUUCCAAGCCGAGCUACAAUCUUGCACCAGUGUAGGAUACGGAGUUCCGCUAGCCGCUUUACUGUGGUGCCUCUUUGGGGGUCACGAAGCGCUCUUCUCCUCUGAAUUGCCUCUCCACUUUUUUU